CGCUGGAGACGAGGAGCAGCCGGUGGAGACGAGGAGCGCCGGUGGAGAGGAGGUGGCAUCUCGCACGGAAGAGGAGACGAUCCCGUGGAGAGGAGGAGGCAUUCCCGUGGAGAGGAGCAUCCGGCGGGAGACGAAGUAGCAUCCGGCGGAGACGAGGAGUAGCAGCCGGCGGAGACGAGUAGCAGCAUCCGGAGGAGACGAGGAGUAGCAUCCGGCGGAGAGGAGCAGUAGCAUCCGGUGGAGAGGAGGAGGAGCAUCCGGAGGAGAGGUGGAGGAGUAUCCGGCGGAGAGGAGGAGGAGCAUCUGGCGGAGAGGAGGAGGAGCAGCCGGGGGAGACGAGAAGCAGCCGGUGGAGACGAGGAGCAGCCGGUGGAGAGGAGGAGCAGCCGGUGGAGACGAGGAGCAUCUCGAGGAGAGGAGGAGCAUCCGGUGGAGAGGAGGAGCAUCUGGUGGAGACGAGGAGCAUCUGGUGGAGAGGAGGAGUAGUAUCUGGUGGAGAGGAGGGUAGUAUCUGGUGGAGAGGAGGAGCAUCUGGUGGAGAGGAGAAGCAUCUGGUGGAGAGGAGGAGCAUCUGGUGGAGGGGAGGAGCAUCUUCCCGUGCUUGUUUAUUGUGUUUGUUGAAGGUCACGUCAUCGCUCACCCAGUGGGCAGUGGGUUUCAGGCGUGGCUCACACCUGGUGUGGUCAUCGGCACCCCAGUGUUGCUCAGGGCUGGCGGGAUCUUUAGCCCAAAGGCGCAGUCUGUGCUAUCGCUCCUUCCAGGCCUGGCCACUCCCACAAGAAGAAAACAGAAACCUCAGUGCCUGGCAGAGAAGGCUCUUGGGCGGCAAGUAGGCGGCCGGAUCACCCUCCGUCCCGCCUCCUGUGCCCCCAGCCCCUCCGCACCCCGUCUCCUUCCUCUUCUUCGCCAAGCUCUGAGCACCCUCUCCGGGGCGCUAGGCGCUCUCCUUUGCCCUCUUCCUGGUGGAGUACGGGAUGCAGCACACACAGCUGGUAUGCAUCCUGCAGGGCGAGAGGAGGGCAGGUGGGUGAGAAAGGGUCCUGGGCCAGCACUGUGGCCACAGGCACCCCGAGAGCAGCACCCCCAACCUGAAGUGCACUGGGAGGUCUGCCCUGCACUUGCGUAUGCACCCCUUUUCAUCAAGCGCACUGGGGAGUCUCCCCUGUACCUGCAUAUGCACCCCCGUUCAUCAAGUGCACUGGGGGGUCUCCCCUGUACCUGCAUAUGCUCCCCAUUUCAUCAAGCACACUGGGGGUCUCCCCUGCACCUGCAUAUGCAUCCCCUUUUAUCAAGCACACUGGGGGGUCUCCCCACACCUCUGCAUGCACCCCCUUUCAUCAAGCGCACUAGGGGGUCUCCCCUGCACUCUGCCUGCACCCCCUUUCAUCAAGUGCACUGGGGGGUCUCCCCUGCACUCUGCCUGCACCCCCUUUCAUCAAGCACACUGGGGGUCUCCCCUGCACUCUGCCUGUACCCCCUUUCAUCAAGCACACUGGGGGUCUCCCCUGCACUCUGCCUGCACCCCCUUUCA
Molecule: long non-coding RNA, 1531 nt
Filed under: Pan troglodytes (chimpanzee)
Lineage: Eukaryota; Metazoa; Chordata; Mammalia; Primates; Hominidae
Description: lncRNA (ENSPTRG00000053267.1)
Source: RNAcentral